AAGUCGUAACAAGGUUUCCGUAGGUGAACCUGCGGAAGGAUCAUUAACACGUAUCCAACGUUAAACCCCCAUUGUACAUCCACGUCAUAAACCGGCAAUCUCUGGUAAUCAUCGCCGAACAGUUUUGAUUCAGAGACCUCUGGGAAGGGUGUACGGUAGUGCGAGGCAAUUGACCUGGCAUUCCUCUGCUUGUUAGUGUCUGAAAGUGUCACUAGCUAUGUACGGAUGGCGCAGUAACGAUCGCUGGAGGCCGACACGGCCGGCGACCAGGUCACUGGGCUACGGCCCCCCUGAUCACAACCUUUGCAUGAAAACGGGCCUGCGCUGAGGUGCGGCCACCCCUAAUGCUUGAACAACUGUUAACAAUGGAUAUCUUGGUUCUC
This 383-nucleotide unclassified non-coding RNA is filed under the name fungal sp. RNAcentral's name for it is "partial internal transcribed spacer region". The stretch from base 1 to 46 matches the Rfam family "Eukaryotic small subunit ribosomal RNA", at positions 1786 to 1831 of the family's 1831-position model. The record is from RNAcentral. Lineage: Eukaryota; Fungi.